CCCUUAGAUGUUCUGGGCCGCACGCGUGCUACACUGAGUAAUUCAAUGGGUAAGGGAACGCUAGAGCAUUACCUAAUCUUGAAAUUUGCUCGUGAUGGGGAUCGACGGUUGCAAUUUUCCGUCGUUAACGAGGAAUACCUUGUAGGCGCAUGUCAUCAUCAUGCGCCGAAUACGUCCCUGCCCUUUGUACACACCGCCCGUCGCUCCUACCGAUUGAGUGAUCCGGUGAGGCUCUGGGACCUGGACGGAAAGAGCGUUUCGCUUGUUCUGUUUGGGAAACUUGGUCGAACCUUAUCAUUUAGAGGAAGGAGAAGUCGUAACA
Molecule: ribosomal RNA, 322 nt
Filed under: uncultured eukaryote
Lineage: Eukaryota
Description: partial 18S ribosomal RNA
Rfam family: Eukaryotic small subunit ribosomal RNA
Source: RNAcentral